Molecule: ribosomal RNA, 301 nt
Filed under: uncultured bacterium
Lineage: Bacteria
Description: partial 16S ribosomal RNA
Rfam family: Bacterial small subunit ribosomal RNA
Source: RNAcentral
CAGUCGCCGCGGUAAUACGAAGGGGGCUAGCGUUGUUCGGAUUUACUGGGCGUAAAGGGUGCGUAGGCGGACUGAUAAGUCAGGGGUGAAAUCCCAAGGCUCAACCUUGGAACUGCCUUUGAUACUGUUAGUCUUGAGUUCGAGAGAGGUGAGUGGAACUGCGAGUGUAGAGGUGAAAUUCGUAGAUAUUCGCAAGAACACCAGUGGCGAAGGCGGCUCACUGGCUCGAAACUGACGCUGAGGCACGAAAGCGUGGGGAGCAAACAGGAUUAGAGACCCGUGUAGUCCCUGUCUCUUAUAC